GAUGAACGCUGGCGGCGUGCCUAAUACAUGCAAGUCGAGCGAACAGAUGAGGAGCUUGCUCCUCUGCCGUUAGCGGCGGACGGGUGAGUAACACGUGGAUAACCUACCUAUAAGACUGGGAUAACUUCGGGAAACCGGAGCUAAUACCGGAUAAUAUAUUGAACCGCAUGGUUCAAUAGUGAAAGACGGUUUUGCUGUCACUUAUAGAUGGAUCCGCGCCGCAUUAGCUAGUUGGUAAGGUAACGGCUUACCAAGGCAACGAUGCGUAGCCGACCUGAGAGGGUGAUCGGCCACACUGGAACUGAGACACGGUCCAGACUCCUACGGGAGGCAGCAGUAGGGAAUCUUCCGCAAUGGGCGAAAGCCUGACGGAGCAACGCCGCGUGAGUGAUGAAGGUCUUCGGAUCGUAAAACUCUGUUAUUAGGGAAGAACAAAUGUGUAAGUAACUAUGCACGUCUUGACGGUACCUAAUCAGAAAGCCACGGCUAACUACGUG
RNAcentral lists this ribosomal RNA (497 nucleotides) under uncultured bacterium. Its description in RNAcentral is "partial 16S ribosomal RNA". It matches the Rfam family "Bacterial small subunit ribosomal RNA", at positions 28 to 507 of the family's 1533-position model. The record is from RNAcentral.